Molecule: long non-coding RNA, 1017 nt
Filed under: Homo sapiens (human)
Lineage: Eukaryota; Metazoa; Chordata; Mammalia; Primates; Hominidae
Description: HSALNT0338176
Source: RNAcentral
AGCAAUCUACACACAUACACUCACACACCCCGUCCCUUUCCCUCCUCGCAGAAGCCGAGGAGAUGCCAUGUGAGGGUGCAGCGAGGAGUUGGGCUGUCUAAAAGCAAAGAAAGAGAUUGCAUCAGACACCGCAUCUGCUGACACCUUGUUCUUGGACUUCCAGCUUCCAAAACCGCGAGAAAUAAAUGUCUGUGUCUAAACCCCAACCCUACCACCUCAACUGCCGUGUGUGGUGUUUUGUGAUGGCAGCCCCAGCUGACUGAGACACCUGGUUAGACCGGAAUAAGCAGGCUGCAAUCGGUAGCAGUCACCAUUGAACAUCCUUGAAGCAAUUCUUCCAAAAUUACCUUGCAUCAAAGACUGCACAAGAACUGCUCUAAGCGGAAGGACUGAUGUCGGCAACCAGGGUUCCACCAGGGGCUGCAGACAGCCCUUGACCUUCAGGUGGGAAGGUGUCACUGAGUUCAGACCCUCUGGCAAUCCCUAGCUAUCAACAUUUUGAUAAGAAAAUAAGUGGAAAGGUAGAACUGGAAGAUUUUGCUGAAAGAUUGGACAUGGCAUUCAGAGAAACAGAGGUUUUAAUGACAAACUCCAAGUUUUUGGCUGGAGCAACUGGAAGAAUGAGGUUGCCAUGAACCGAAAAGAGAGAUUGCAGAAGUAACCAAAUUUACUCACGUAGGCCAGGAAUUUCUAUGACGUGUUCCAAAUUCAGCCUCUCACUGAACACUUCCAGAGCAAGGCAACAUAAACAUCUGCAAGAAGAACAUUGUGUGAGAAAUAUCAAGUGAGAGUGGAAGAGUCUGCGGAGGGCCUCCCUGGGGCUCACCUGUGCUUUUGCCUGAGCUUCACCGUGUCAAGGAUGCAGCACUUUUUCCCUCUGGAGGAAGCAGCUUUCACCUUGGAAGAAUCUUGACCUUGCCAUUCAAAGUCACCAGACAGGGAAUCUGCCAGUGCCUUGAUCUUAGACUUCCCAGCUUCUGUAACUGUGAGCAAUAAAUGUAUGCUGCUUAUAAACUA